RNAcentral lists this ribosomal RNA (495 nucleotides) under uncultured bacterium. RNAcentral describes it as "partial 16S ribosomal RNA". It matches the Rfam family "Bacterial small subunit ribosomal RNA", at positions 28 to 507 of the family's 1533-position model. The record is from RNAcentral.
GACGAACGCUGGCGGCGUGCCUAAUACAUGCAAGUAGAACGCUGAAGGAGGAGCUUGCUUCUCUGGAUGAGUUGCGAACGGGUGAGUAACGCGUAGGUAACCUGCCUGGUAGCGGGGGAUAACUAUUGGAAACGAUAGCUAAUACCGCAUAAGAGUAGAUGUUGCAUGACAUUUGCUUAAAAGGUGCAAUUGCAUCACUACCAGAUGGACCUGCGUUGUAUUAGCUAGUUGGUGAGGUAACGGCUCACCAAGGCAACGAUACAUAGCCGACCUGAGAGGGUGAGCGGCCACGCUGGGACUGAGACACGGCCCAGACUCCUACGGGAGGCAGCAGUAGGGAAUCUUCGGCAAUGGACGGAAGUCUGACCGAGCAACGCCGCGUGAGUGAAGAAGGUUUUCGGAUCGUAAAGCUCUGUUGUAAGAGAAGAACGAGUGUGAGAGUGGAAAGUUCACACUGUGACGGUAUCUUACCAGAAAGGGACGGCUAACUACGUG